UUUAAUUAAUUAAUUUAAUUUAUUUCUGCAAUCAUGUAUUUACAGUGUUUUGGCUUUAGGUCCUCCCAACCAGCUGCCGUUUUAACUCAAGACGAAGAAGAUCUGUUUCAGUCACGUGACUCGGUGACGUAAGUGUCAUGACGGACGGCUGCUGGGAGAGAGACUGAAAAGAGGAGGAAAAAGAGCUGAAUGGCGGGAGGAGAAGCUCCAGGCGAGGAGGAGAGGGAACGCUGUCGGCCAUGUUGUCUGACUGAAGGAGCAUCUGUCUGCUGAGGAGGAGGCGACAUGAGUUCUUCACAGGAGGUCAGUGAAACGGUCACUCGGAGACGAACACGUCUUCAGCUGCGGUUUGAAGGAGGAAACAAUAAAAACCUGCGUCAAUCACACAAAAUAAAAGGCUUUUAAUGUAAAGGUUCAGCAGCAGGAAAUAUUUCACCACCGCUGCAGAGUUUGUAGUACUGCAAAUAUAUGAAUAUUGCAAAACAGUGGCCAGCCGGAUGUGGAGCAUGGGGCACCAGUUGAGGGUCACUGCUGUACAGUUUGCACACAGAGGAUGCAGCGCCACACUGCAUCUCACCACCUGUUACAGGCUCCUCUUCAUCGACUUCAGCGUUCAACAACAAGAUUCACAGCAGCUGGUUGGAGAAGGUCGCUGUGUGUGGACGCUGGCACCUGCAACUGUGUCUUCAACGUCCUGUCAGAGAGGGCAGACCGACAUCAGCAGCGACCACAGUGAGCACAGGUUCACCUCAGGGCUGGAGACCCCUGCUGGGCUGAGCUGAUCUGAGAACGGUUCAUACUGUCAAACAGCCUGCAAGUGAAACAGUCUGGAUGUUUACACGUCACCUGAACGCAGCGUGGAGUCAGCUGAGGCACCGUGUGGUACUGUACGUUCAAAUUAACCAGAGAGACUCCAGCUGUAUCAGUUGUCGGUCAUGUUUCAUAUUCUUCAUAAUUAUAUCCAAUCAUCAUUCAGACCAAAAUCACGCCCUUCACACUGGAAACACAUCAGCUGGGGUGUAACAGCAAAACUCAAAGUUUCCACAUGGUGCUAAAGUUCAAAUUCCAGUGCCGCUCCUGACCAGGAAUAAGAACAGACUAGAUCAUUGUUAGCAUAAAGCCUUUGAAGCACAAUGAAGCUCUUCAUUAGUUUCCUGUUACGGACAAUGAAACAAGUUCUGUCACCAAGUAUCUCAGAGUGGAAAGCUUCUAAAAGAGACAGAGAAAAGAGAUAUCUGUUAGUGAAUGUGGAGCAGUUAUUGUAACAUGAUGCCUCAUUAUGCCUUAUUGUUUUCAGGUCUGCAGACAGAGGGAGAAAGUUCUCAGUUCUUCCAGUGGUUAUUUAACUUGAUAAUGAUCGUUUCAGAAAAUAUAGUUACACAGGAAUAUUUAAUCAAAUUGUAAUUUCUUUUAACGCCAUGAAAACGUGCAGAGCUGCCGGUUGUGUAGUUUCCCCGUCAUGGUCCUAGCCUGACACCUGGUGGACAUGUCAGACAUCUGCACCUACAGAAGUGUGUUCAGAAAAGGUUUUAAUGAAUUUGAUUUGUAGUUUGUAUCCUGGUUCAGGAUGAUUAACAGCUCUUUACCUAGAUGUAAAGUUGAUCUUCUCUGAUGCUGUCGAAUAAACAAUAGAAAGAGACACCACACUCCACACUGAACAUGUAUUUGUGAUAAUGCAAUAAUUGGCAAUAAACUUCAAACGAAAUGUUUGAAAAGA
Long non-coding RNA from Micropterus salmoides (largemouth bass), 1717 nucleotides. RefSeq lists it as uncharacterized. The transcript is spliced from 2 exons. Lineage: Eukaryota; Metazoa; Chordata; Actinopteri; Centrarchiformes; Centrarchidae. The record is from RefSeq and is a predicted model, not a curated record.